RNAcentral lists this ribosomal RNA (252 nucleotides) under uncultured bacterium. RNAcentral describes it as "partial 16S ribosomal RNA". It matches the Rfam family "Bacterial small subunit ribosomal RNA", at positions 524 to 776 of the family's 1533-position model. The record is from RNAcentral.
GACAGAGGUGCCGAGCGUUAGGCGGAAUCACUGGGCUUAAAGCGUGUGUAGGCGGAUCGUUAAGUACCUUGUGAAAUCCCACGGCUUAACCGUGGAACUGCUGGGUAUACUGGCGAUCUUGAGGUGCUCAGGGGCGAGCGGAACAGAUGGUGGAGCGGUGAAAUGCGUAGAUAUCAUCUGGAACGCCUGCGGUGAAAACGGCUCGCUGGGAGCAAUCUGACGCUGAGACACGAAGCCAGGGGAGCAAACGGG